This 254-nucleotide ribosomal RNA is filed under the name uncultured bacterium. Its description in RNAcentral is "partial 16S ribosomal RNA". It matches the Rfam family "Bacterial small subunit ribosomal RNA", at positions 524 to 776 of the family's 1533-position model. The record is from RNAcentral.
UACGUAGGGUGCGAGCGUUGUCCGGAAUUAUUGGGCGUAAAGGGCUCGUAGGCGGUCUGUUGCGUCGGGAGUGAAAACUCAGGGCUUAACCCUGAGCCUGCUUCCGAUACGGGCAGACUAGAGGUAUGCAGGGGAGAACGGAAUUCCUGGUGUAGCGGUGAAAUGCGCAGAUAUCAGGAGGAACACCGGUGGCGAAGGCGGUUCUCUGGGCAUUACCUGACGCUGAGGAGCGAAAAGUGUGGGGAGCGAACAGG